RNAcentral lists this transfer RNA (543 nucleotides) under uncultured Prochlorococcus sp. RNAcentral describes it as "partial 16S-23S ribosomal RNA intergenic spacer". The stretch from base 212 to 284 matches the Rfam family "tRNA". The record is from RNAcentral. Lineage: Bacteria; Bacillati; Cyanobacteriota; Cyanophyceae; Synechococcales; Prochlorococcaceae.
CAGGGAGACAACAAAAUGUUUAAUAUUAUUAUUUUGUCACCUUAGGUCGAUCGGUAUCUCACGUUCUUAAUUUGUUAAGAAUUUCAUUUUCUAAGUUUUUCUAGGUCACACCCAUUAUUUUUCCUGGGCCAUUAGCUCAGGUGGUUAGAGCGCACCCCUGAUAAGGGUGAGGUCCCUGGUUCAAGUCCAGGAUGGCCCAUAUCUCUAUGUUGGGGGUAUAGCUCAGUUGGUAGAGCGCCUGCUUUGCAAGCAGGAUGUCAGCGGUUCGAGUCCGCUUACCUCCACUGAUUACCACCUCUUACAUAACUGGUAAAAAGGAAAUGUUUUGAGUUGUGAUCAUUAUUCUGAACGAAUCUAGCUUCCUAAUGAAAUCAUUAAGAUGCUGGACUCAUUGAAUUAAUUUCAUUGUUUUCAGAGAACCUUGACAACUGCAUAGAUUAUUUUUAAAGACAAUAAGCAUCUUUAAUGAUGCAGAUUUAUUAUUUGUGCGAAUGCAUUAAUAACAAUUCUAUUAAGCUGAUGCUUCAAUUUUUUGAAGUUAUU